This 450-nucleotide ribosomal RNA is filed under the name uncultured bacterium. Its description in RNAcentral is "partial 16S ribosomal RNA". It matches the Rfam family "Bacterial small subunit ribosomal RNA", at positions 338 to 795 of the family's 1533-position model. The record is from RNAcentral.
CCUACGGGCGGCUGCAGUGGGGAAUUUUGGACAAUGGGGGCAACCCUGAUCCAGCCAUGCCGCGUGCGGGAAGAAGGCCUUCGGGUUGUAAACCGCUUUUGUCAGGGAAGAAAUCUUCCGAGCUAAUACCUUGGGCGGAUGACGGUACCUGAAGAAUAAGCACCGGCUAACUACGUGCCAGCAGCCGCGGUAAUACGUAGGGGACAAGCGUUAAUCGGAAUUACUGGGGGUAAAGCGGGAAGAGGGGGUUGAAAGCCCCGGGCUUAACCUGGGAACUGCACUUGUGACUGUACGGCUGGAGUACGGCAGAGGGGGAUGGAAUUCCGCGUGUAGCAGUGAAAUGCGUAGAUAUGCGGAGGAACACCGAUGGCGAAGGCAGUCCCCUGGGCCUGUACUGACGCUCAUGCGCGAAAGCGUGGGGAGCAAACAGGAUUAGAUACCCCUGUAGUC